Molecule: small nuclear RNA, 53 nt
Filed under: Eremothecium sinecaudum
Lineage: Eukaryota; Fungi; Ascomycota; Saccharomycetes; Saccharomycetales; Saccharomycetaceae
Description: HCLSNR4
Source: RNAcentral
AACUAAUAGGAAGUGAUGUAAAGUUAACCCUUUCAUCAUCGACUGUUAUAGUU